This 644-nucleotide long non-coding RNA is filed under the name Medicago truncatula (barrel medic). RNAcentral describes it as "lncRNA gene36575". The record is from RNAcentral. Lineage: Eukaryota; Viridiplantae; Streptophyta; Magnoliopsida; Fabales; Fabaceae.
CGGUGACAGAAAAAAGAGUGAAGCAACAAAAAUGUUGUAACAAAAAACAUGAUAAUCAUUAACUACAUUUAUUUAUUGAAGUAUUUUAUCAUUGUCAUGCAUAGACAUUGUCGUUUGUGAUAUCUUGAAUAGGUAACGAAACUUUUGACCUUGUCAUAAAAUUAUACGCUUAGGUGUAAUUAUUUUGGGGGAAAUGCUAAUCCAUGCCUCGGAGCACUUGUUAAGUAUAUUAAAAUGGAAAUUAUAUAAUAGUUAAUACAUUGAAAUUGUGUAAUUAAUUUAUAAAAGAUAAAAAAUAGUUUUCUUUUAUGCUAAUAAUUUUCUCUUUUGAUAUGCUUAACUAGUGUCUUGGAAUACCGGUUAGCAUGACCCUUAUUUUAAAAUUUUAUUAUUUCUUGAACUGACAAAAAUCUUCAAUGCACUUUCCAAGAUAAGGACAAUCUUCACUAGUCUUGCAGCCGAUUUUAUCUGUAUUGUCAAAUGAGAAGAAAAGAAUGUUACUCAAAGGUGAUAUAUUAUUGUUCAUAAUAUAAAUUAGAAAAUUUGAAAAUGUUGUUAAAAAUAACAUACGUAUAUUUGUUUCAACAUGAAAUAGAGAAAGAAAGAUGAUCAAAACAUAAGCAAACAUGAAAAUUUGAGACAUG